Molecule: ribosomal RNA, 482 nt
Filed under: uncultured bacterium
Lineage: Bacteria
Description: partial 16S ribosomal RNA
Rfam family: Bacterial small subunit ribosomal RNA
Source: RNAcentral
AUGGAACGCUGGCGGCAUGCCUUACACAUGCAAGUCGAACGGUAACGGGCCUUGGGGUGCCGACGAGUGGCUAACGGGUGAGUAAUACAUCGGAACGUGCCCGGUCGCGGGGGAUAACGAGGCGAAAGCGUUGCUAAUACCGCAUGCGAUCUACGGAGGAAAGAAGUUGACGGGAAGGCCUGGCGCGGCCGGGGCGGGCGAUGGCCGGUUGGGGAGUUGGGGGGGUGAACGCUUAGCAAGAGGACGAUCUGUAGCUGGUCUGAGAGGAUGAUCAGCCACACUGGGACUGAGAGCCGGCACAGACUACUACGGGCGGCAGCAGUGGGGAAUUUUGGACAAUGCGCGCAAGCCUGAUCCAGCCAUGCCGCGUGCAGGAUGAAGGCCUUCGGGUUGUAAACUGCUUUUGUACGGAACGAAAAGCCUUCUUUUAAUACAGGAGGGUCAUGACGGUACCGUAAGAAUAAGCACCGGCUAACUACGUG